AUGCUCAUUUUAGCAGCACAUAUACUAAAAUUGGAACUAUACAGAGAUUAGCAUGGCCCCUGUACAAGGAUAACACGAAAAUUCAUGAAGCGUUCCAUAUCUUC
RNAcentral lists this small nuclear RNA (104 nucleotides) under Prolemur simus (greater bamboo lemur). Lineage: Eukaryota; Metazoa; Chordata; Mammalia; Primates; Lemuridae. The record is from RNAcentral.